Molecule: long non-coding RNA, 1526 nt
Filed under: Homo sapiens (human)
Lineage: Eukaryota; Metazoa; Chordata; Mammalia; Primates; Hominidae
Description: non-protein coding lnc-DCAF4-2:1
Source: RNAcentral
UGGAAGAGCUGCUGAAUCAGCAGACUAAAGGGGCGACCAGGAAGGCCAGACGUCUUGCACCGAGCCCUUUGCUCAGAGUUUCUAUUUGAAGAGCUUAGAAUAACUAUUUGCUAAGCUCUUGUCAAGGCAGCACCUCUAAACCAUGUAUGGAGAGAAGACACACAAACCUUGACCACCAAAUGUGAAUGGCCAAUCAGAAGCUGACACAAUCAGCUAAAAUGAUUUUAUGGGGGAAAAGAAUUCCCACCUUAUGCAAAAGCCAAAGAGCCUUAGGUGUCCCUUCAGGUCUAAAAUACUACUCAGAGAUUCCUUUUGAACAUGCAAAGUAUUUCUGACAGCAUUCAUAUUCAUCUUCUAUUUGUUCUGUGUGGACAUUUGCAUGGAGAGGUAUCUGAAAUUAUGUUCGUCCAAUGGAUUUGGGGUGAUAAUUUUGCUCUCAUCUUUUUACUUUUAUGCAAGGCAGUCAAACAUUAAAGCUUCAAAAACAAAGCUGGAGGCAUCAUGCUACCUGACUUCAAACUAUACUACAAGGCUACAGUAACCAAAACAGCAUGGUACUGGUACCAAAACAGAGAUAUAGACCAAUGGAACAGAACAGAGGCCUCAGAAAUAAUGCCGCAUAUCUACAACUAUCUGAUCUUUGACAAACCUGACAAAAACAAGCAAUGGGGAAAGGAUUCCCUAUUUAAUAAAUGGUGCUGGGAAAACUGGCUAGCCAUAUGGAGAAAAAUGAAACUGGAGCCCUUCCUUACACCUUAUACUAAAAUUAAUUCAAGAUGGAUUAAAGAUUUAAAUGUUAGACCUAAAACCAUAAAAACCCUAGAAGAAAACCUAGGCAAUACCAUUCAGGACAUAGGCAUAGGCAAGGACUUCAUGUCUAAAACACCAAAAGCAAUGGCAACAAAAGCCAAAAUUGACAAAUGGGAUCUAAAUAAACUAAAGAGCUUCUGCACAGCAAAAGAAACUACCAUCAGAGUGAACAGGCAACCUACAGAAUGGGAGAAAAUUUUUGCAAUCUACUCAUCUGACAAAGGGCUAAUAUCCAGAAUCUACAAUGAACUCAAACAAAUUUACAAGAAAAAAACAAACAACCCCAUCAACAAGUGGGCGAAGGAUAUAAACAGACACUUCUCAAAAGAAGAUAUUUAUGCAGCCAAAAGACACAUGAAACAAUGCUCAUCAUCACUGGCCAUCAGAGAAAUGCAAAUCAAAACCACAAUGAGAUACCAUCUCACACCAGUUAGAAAGGUGAUCAUUAAAAAGUCAGGAAACAACAGGUGCUGGAGAGGAUGUGGAGAAAUAGGAACAUUUUCUCACUGUUGGUGGGACUGUAAACUAGUUCAACCAUUGUGGAAGUCAGUGUGGCGAUUCCUCAGGGAUCUAGAACUAGAAAUACCAUUUGACCCAGCCAUCCCAUUACUGGGUAUAUACCCAAAGGGUUAUAAAUCAUGCUGCUAUAAAGACACACGCACAUGUAUGUUUAUUGCGGCACUAUUCACAAUAGCAAAGACUUGGAACCAACCCAA